RNAcentral lists this ribosomal RNA (507 nucleotides) under Oeneis melissa. Its description in RNAcentral is "partial 16S rRNA". Lineage: Eukaryota; Metazoa; Arthropoda; Insecta; Lepidoptera; Nymphalidae. The record is from RNAcentral.
AAGAUUUUAAUGAUCGAACAGAUCAAAAUUUUAAACUUUUGCAUUUAAAUUUUAUCUUAAUCCAACAUCGAGGUCGCAAACUUUUUUUUUUAUCUGAACUAAAAAAAAAUAUUACGCUGUUAUCCCUAAGGUAAUUUUUUCUUAUAAUCAUUAUUAAUGGAUCAUUUAAUCAUUUAUUUAUGUUUAAUUUUUAAAAAAAGUUAAUUUAAUUUUUCUAUCACCCCAAUAUAAUAAUUAAUUUUAUUUUAAUAAAAAUUUUUAUAUAAUUUUAAAAUAAAAAUAAAUAUAAAACUCUAUAGGGUCUUCUCGUCUUUUAAAAUUAAUUUAGCUUUUUAACUAAAAAAUAAACUUCUAAAAAUAAAUAAGAGACAGUUUAUAUUUCAUCAAAUCUUUCAUACAAGUUUUCAAUUAAAAAACUAUUGAUUAUGCUACCUUUGUACAGUCAUUAUACUGCAGCCCUUUAAUUAUUAUCAGUGGGCAGAUUAGACCUUAAAUUAUAUUCAAAAA